UACGAGGGGGGCGAGCGUUGUUCGGAAUUAUUGGGCGUAAAGCGUGCGCAGGCGGUUUGCUAAGACCGAUGUGAAAUCCCCGGGCUUAACCUGGGAACUGCAUUGGUGACUGGCAGGCUAGAGUAUGGCAGAGGGGGGUAGAAUUCCACGUGUAGCAGUGAAAUGCGUAGAGAUGUGGAGGAAUACCGAUGGCGAAGGCAGCCCCCUGGGCCAAUACUGACGCUCAUGCACGAAAGCGUGGGGAGCAAACAGG
Molecule: ribosomal RNA, 253 nt
Filed under: uncultured bacterium
Lineage: Bacteria
Description: partial 16S ribosomal RNA
Rfam family: Bacterial small subunit ribosomal RNA
Source: RNAcentral